GACGAACGCUGGCGGCGUGCUUAACACAUGCAAGUCGAACGGAAAGGCCCAGCUUGCUGGGUGCUCGAGUGGCGAACGGGUGAGUAACACGUGGGUGAUCUGCCUCUAACUUCGGGAUAAGCUUGGGAAACUGGGUCUAAUACCGGAUAGGACAAUCGUUUAGUGUCGGUUGUGGAAAGUUUUUACGGUUAGGGAUGAGCCCGCGGCCUAUCAGCUUGUUGGUGGGGUAAUGGCCUACCAAGGCGUCGACGGGUAGCCGGCCUGAGAGGGUGGACGGCCACAUUGGGACUGAGAUACGGCCCAGACUCCUACGGGAGGCAGCAGUGGGGAAUAUUGCACAAUGGGCGCAAGCCUGAUGCAGCGACGCCGCGUGGGGGAUGACGGCCUUCGGGUUGUAAACCUCUUUCGACAGGGACGAAGCUUUGGUGACGGUACCUGUAUAAGAAGCACCGGCUAACUACGUG
Molecule: ribosomal RNA, 464 nt
Filed under: uncultured bacterium
Lineage: Bacteria
Description: partial 16S ribosomal RNA
Rfam family: Bacterial small subunit ribosomal RNA
Source: RNAcentral